This 75-nucleotide transfer RNA is filed under the name Oscillospiraceae bacterium. RNAcentral's name for it is "tRNA-Cys". Lineage: Bacteria; Bacillati; Bacillota; Clostridia; Eubacteriales; Oscillospiraceae. The record is from RNAcentral. RNAcentral also lists the same sequence under 2 other names.
GGGCAGCUGGCGCAUGAGGAUGCGCUCCCGCAGCACGGCGGGAGGGAGCAGGUUCGACUCCUGCGCUGCUCUCCA